CUCACUAUAAAUGUAAAUUACAAGACUUGUCUUGGAGCGUAACUCCCCGUCACCUCCUCAAAAUCAUUGUAUCUCUCAAUGUGUAGUCUUUGUUCUUCUAGCCUUAAGCGGGUCUUGGAUCUUAGGUCUUAGGUCUUGGGUCUUUCCUCUUCCUCACGGUGCGAAGACGACUAACUCCCCGUUAGCUCGUCUAGGACUUGGGUCUUAGAACGAAGAUCACCUCACUUCACUUCACCUCACUGCAAAAUCUAGAAAACAAUAUCUACGAAAGACAACCUUGGUUAUAAAAAGAGUUUUGGACAAGAUUCACUAGUCCGAGUGUUUCAAUAAUAUUCUUGGUCUUAGAAUAUUAAAGAUUAAGUGUCCUUUAAGCUUUUAUAAAGCUUAAGACCUUGCAAGUAUUCUUUUUCGAUAGAUUUAUAUUUAUAAUCGAAGAAUACGUUUAUCGUACAAAAUCCUCCAAAUAAGUAAUAUUCGAGUGUCUUGGAGUUUGUAGAUAAAAUAAAGUCCUUUUAAGCUCUUUUGGCUUUAUGGACUAAUAUACUUGUCUUUGAAUAAGUAUAUGAAAUACUUCGGGUAUGAUAACCUUCGAAGUAAUAUUACAAAGCGUUUUAUUUUACAAUUUCGUUGCAAGAUAACUCCUGUUUAAAUAUAAAAAUCGCUUUGCACGAGAGAGUGAGUUCUUGACUAUCUUUAACAAUUGCACAAUGAUAUAGAGUUUUGGGCCACUAAGAUUUUGCGAUUAUAACACCGCUAUAAUAUAUAUAUAGUUGAUUUUAGAAAUACCGAGCGAAUCUCACGUGGGACAAGCUACGGGUAUUUUGUGGUGUGUGAACAAAGUGUUGGUGAUAUAUAUAGAUAUACGUAUAAAUCAACUCACUAAGGUGAGGACCACCACCAAACUCGUUUAAGCAAAUAUUCUCACGAAAGCUCAGCACGUAUGAGAAUCUUCACGUCAACAAGAUAGGGUAUAACACACACACGCACAUGUAGGUAUACUAUAGAUAAUACGAGCGGCCAACUCUUGUGCUUUGUAUUGUUAAAGAGAAAGAGAGCUUUGAGAUGAAGAGAAUUUUGGCUUGAUAGCUCUGUUAAAGUCGGUCGGUUAAGACUCGGAUAAGACGAAGCUAAAGAAACCACUUACACGAUUUUCGUAAAAAGUUCGCCGGAAAAAUUCGCCGGAGGUUCGGUAGGAAUUUGGCUUAUGGACGAACUUCGGACAGCCCUUCGGGAGGUCGGAAAGAGCGGUUUGGGUGCAAGCAAAGUGGUACGGGGCUUGGUUGGGGGGAGCAAAGCCUCGGUGUUUAAAACCUCGAGAAUAUACGAAUAUACCGAGCGGGACGGAGGUUUUAAAGAUGAAGUAGAUGAAAAAUGUGUUUAUAUAAAUUUGGAGAGAGCUUCUACUUGCAAAAUCUCAGCACUUUCUUGCUU
RNAcentral lists this long non-coding RNA (1431 nucleotides) under Daucus carota (carrot). Its description in RNAcentral is "long non-coding RNA (DCAR_LNC007195)". Lineage: Eukaryota; Viridiplantae; Streptophyta; Magnoliopsida; Apiales; Apiaceae. The record is from RNAcentral.